UACGUAGGCAGCAAGCGUUGUUCGGAAUUACUGGGCGUAAAGAGUGUGUAGGCGGUGCUCUAAGUCUGGUGUGAAAUCUCCCGGCUUAACUGGGAGGGGGCGCUAGAAACUGGAGUGCUAGAGGAUGGGAGAGGUAAGCGGAAUUUCUGGUGUAGCGGUGAAAUGCGUAGAUAUCAGGAGGAACACCUGUGGUGUAGACAGCUUACUGGACCAUUUCUGACGCUGAGACACGAAAGCGUGGGUAGCAAACAGG
RNAcentral lists this ribosomal RNA (253 nucleotides) under uncultured bacterium. Its description in RNAcentral is "partial 16S ribosomal RNA". It matches the Rfam family "Bacterial small subunit ribosomal RNA", at positions 524 to 776 of the family's 1533-position model. The record is from RNAcentral.